This is a long non-coding RNA of Anguilla anguilla (European eel), 1098 nucleotides long. RefSeq lists it as uncharacterized. The record is from RefSeq and is a predicted model, not a curated record. Lineage: Eukaryota; Metazoa; Chordata; Actinopteri; Anguilliformes; Anguillidae. The transcript is spliced from 3 exons.
AAGCUUUACUGUUCUGGUACAGUCGGAUCCACCGCUUUGUAACACAGUGCUUAUUGGGUCAGAUAAUUGCUAUCAUCGUUUCAUUUCAAAUUAUUGCCUACGUUAGCAAGCCACCUAUCUUGACACUCAGUUCUGGCUCAAUUGAAAUUUAUUUUGGUUUUAUUUCUUUCUUUUUUGCUAGCCAACUGAACCGGACUAUAGUCUACUAUGCAAUGGUGCCACUUGGCUGUCAUAAUAGGCCUCCCAACGCUAAUUUAAUCAGUCCAUUCUGUGUGCUUCAGUCACAGGGAUCUCUUUGACAUUGAUUCUGGUGGUGCUAGUGUUUCAGCAUCAGGUGUAGCGACGGUGUCCUGACAGCUAUGACCUUGUGAGCACAGAGGAAUACUCGUAUUGACAUACUCACAUGUCUCCAGAGAACGUUACUGUGUAGCAAAGGCGCAUCUGGGCCCUGGUUUGUGCUUUGUAAUAGGAGGACUUGGUUGCAGCAUCUGGGUGUGUAUAUCCAUACUGAAAUGCACCAGGAAUUUUGGAACUGAGCAGAAGGGGAGGGCAGUAAAGCAGAGUGGUGGAUGGGCGGAUCUUGGAUUACGUCACUGGAUCAAUUUCAGAAGCACGCUCCAAGGACCAUGGAGAUGGAAUGAUACAUGCUGCCGGAAACUUGCGCUAACUUGCAGAUGACUCCAGUUCAUUCCGAGCUCCCAGCCCGGCAGGAUCUGUAGCUAAGCGUUAAAAGUGCAGACACCAGGGUGGAGUCCUCUUCUUGAGGGUAAUGAAGUACCCGAGAUCACCUUUUUAAUCUUUGUUCAGUCCCUGUUUCUGCUGAACUGGAAGUGUAAGGAACAGCGGCCAUUACCAUUGCCUGUCUGGCUGUUACACAAGGUCGGCAGUGGAUCUGAUUCAAUAGAACUCCAUGUUCAGACUUUUUGGACCUAAGGGCUUGCAGUUCAUGGGAAUGUGGUUGGUGUUUGGCCAGGUCUUGAGACGGCAAGCUCAGCUUGCAUGCAACUUUUAUUGACUCCUCCUCUAAUUACCAUUUCCUCUGUUGGCAUACUCUCCCAUCUGUGGGUCUUGCGCACUCAUCCUCUCUGACUGUUCUCA